RNAcentral lists this ribosomal RNA (253 nucleotides) under uncultured bacterium. Its description in RNAcentral is "partial 16S ribosomal RNA". It matches the Rfam family "Bacterial small subunit ribosomal RNA", at positions 524 to 776 of the family's 1533-position model. The record is from RNAcentral.
UACGUAGGGCGCAAGCGUUAUCCGGAAUUAUUGGGCGUAAAGAGCUCGUAGGCGGUUUGUCGCGUCUGCCGUGAAAGUCCGGGGCUCAACUCCGGAUCUGCAGUGGGUACGGGCAGACUAGAGUGUGGUAGGGGAGACUGGAAUUCCUGGUGUAGCGGUGAAAUGCGCAGAUAUCAGGAGGAACACCGAUGGCGAAGGCAGGUCUCUGGGCCAUAACUGACGCUGAGAAGCGAAAGCAUGGGGAGCGAACAGG